UGCCCAGCUACUCCUAUCUCUACCUCCUCGCGGUACUGGCUGGGGUACGAGUAACCUUAGGGAAGAUCGGGUAACCAACCCCCGGUGGGAACUUUGGUCGUAUGCUGACAGGGAAGG
Non-coding RNA from Aedes aegypti (yellow fever mosquito), 117 nucleotides. Lineage: Eukaryota; Metazoa; Arthropoda; Insecta; Diptera; Culicidae. The record is from Rfam.